AACGAACGCUGGCGGCGCGCCUAAUACAUGCAAGUCGAGCGAGAAGGUGUAGCAAUACACUUGUAAAGCGGCGAACGGGUGAGGAAUACAUGGGUAAUCUACCAUCGAGUGGGGAAUAACCAGCCGAAAGGUUGGCUAAUACCGCGUACGCCUCCGAAUCUUCGGGUUCGGAGGGAAAGCCACACUGUGAGUGCGGCGCUCUUUGAUGAGCUCAUGUCCUAUCAGCUUGUUGGUAGGGUAACGGCCUACCAAGGCUUUGACGGGUAGCUGGUCUGAGAGGACGAUCAGCCACACUGGCACUGCGACACGGGCCAGACUCCUACGGGAGGCAGCAGUAAGGAAUAUUGCGCAAUGGGCGAAAGCCUGACGCAGCGACGCCGCGUGGGGGAUGAAGGUCUUCGGAUUGUAAACCCCUUUCGGGAGGGAAGAUGGAGCGAGCAAUCGUUCGGACGGUACCUCCACGAAGCAGCCACGGCCAACUUCGUGCCAGCAG
Molecule: ribosomal RNA, 493 nt
Filed under: uncultured bacterium
Lineage: Bacteria
Description: bacterial SSU rRNA
Rfam family: Bacterial small subunit ribosomal RNA
Source: RNAcentral